UUUUACAGUACGGUUUGUACCUGUGGAGACGCCUGACCAGAAUUAUUAAAGGUCAACCCAGGAAAGGAUGUUACUGUGGUCACAAUGAAUGGGCGACAUGAUCUCAGCAUGCCUGAGUUGAAUUGUGAGGCAUGCAAAGCCACUUGGACUGCUGGAGUGGACGACCUCAUUCGCAGUGACUACUGGCCUGCUACACUUCACUCUGCUACAGUUUAUGCAACCGAGAUUUUGUUUUCAUUUGAAGAAAUGAAGAUGGUGGCACCAGGAUUGUCCUGCCAGGCAUUUUUGACAAUGUCCGCUUUGGCCGUACUGGGAAGAUCUCUGCAGACAGCUUCCAAAAAAGUUUUUUUGAGUGGGAAGCUGUGCAACAUCUGCAAAGAGGAGCCCUUCAUCUGUCCUGCGUGCACCCCAAAUAUGCUUGCAGUUUCCGUGGAUGGAAAUCGCAAGCAUUACCGGUUCAAGAAUGCAUCUAGGUACUCCAAGAUAUGUUUAAGAAUAUAUAACUCUUUAUUAUGCACCAAUCAACGUUAGUCUGUAAGAUUUUGGAAGCUGUUGUGAACCUUUGUUUAAUUUAGA
Solea solea (common sole) is the source of this 576-nucleotide long non-coding RNA. RefSeq lists it as uncharacterized. The transcript is spliced from 3 exons. The record is from RefSeq and is a predicted model, not a curated record. Lineage: Eukaryota; Metazoa; Chordata; Actinopteri; Pleuronectiformes; Soleidae.